GGGGUUGACAUGGAUUUGACGGCGAGAUGAAAUGGUACGUAAGCAUGCGGAGCCUCGUCUGCUAUCUCCAUAAACGAAGUGGACAGAAAUUUAAUUGGCGAAAACAACUACGCUCUCGCUGCCUAAUCGAAGUACAGUAGAUUACUGGCUUUAUCCCGUCACCAGGUGACAGGACGAGACAUCGCUCCAAUGAUGUUGUUCCGAAUCGGAGGGUCAAGCGGUGCAGGAAAAUCGGAAAUAGCCUGUAUAAGCCCCAGUGUGCAGGUGAAAUUUUAGGGGAUAAGGUAUCGGUUGGUAGUCCGGUUCUUGCUGAUGCCCGAAAACAUUGUCCGGAAUAAGCAUGUAGAAAGCGUAUGGUUUCCUUGUGCGGACGUGGGUUCGAAUCCCACCAGCUCCACC
RNAcentral lists this transfer-messenger RNA (399 nucleotides) under uncultured Prevotella sp. It matches the Rfam family "transfer-messenger RNA". From Rfam's summary of the family: Bacterial tmRNA, also known as 10Sa RNA or SsrA, is named for its dual tRNA and mRNA-like properties. Its role is to liberate the mRNA from a stalled ribosome. Lineage: Bacteria; Pseudomonadati; Bacteroidota; Bacteroidia; Bacteroidales; Prevotellaceae. The record is from RNAcentral.